This 240-nucleotide ribosomal RNA is filed under the name uncultured bacterium. RNAcentral's name for it is "partial 16S ribosomal RNA". It matches the Rfam family "Bacterial small subunit ribosomal RNA", at positions 537 to 776 of the family's 1533-position model. The record is from RNAcentral.
AACGUUAUCCGGAGUUACUGGGCGUAAAGGGCGUGUAGGUGGUUUCGUAAGUCUGGCGUGAAAUUUCUCGGCUUAACCGAGGCAGGUCGUCGGAUACUGCGGAACUUGAGGACGGUAGAGGCGUGUGGAAUUCCGGGUGUAGUGGUGAAAUGCGUAGAGAUCCGGAGGAACACCAGUGGCGAAGGCGACACGCUGGGCCGUACCUGACACUGAUGCGCGACAGCAUGGGGAGCAAACAGG